Long non-coding RNA from Gadus macrocephalus (Pacific cod), 5461 nucleotides. RefSeq lists it as uncharacterized. The transcript is spliced from 13 exons. The record is from RefSeq and is a predicted model, not a curated record. Lineage: Eukaryota; Metazoa; Chordata; Actinopteri; Gadiformes; Gadidae.
ACCGUUUAUCAUUCUAAUGUCUCAACAUACGGUAACCUUAAUAAUGGUUAAGCAGUUGAAUCAUAGCGUGGUGGGAAUGUUCCGAUUAACGGUUAUGACUGACUGAUGAUGGGUCUGUUCUUCUGUUCUCCAGGUGAACCGCGAGGUCACGAACACUUUUCGAAGUAAAACGGACCACAAGAUCUGGAGCAGUUGUGAACCGCGAGGUCACGAACACUUUUCGAAGUAAAACGGACCGCAAGAUCUGGAGCAGCUGUCAAGAAGAAUAAACAGAUUCAGUGAGUAUCCCAAUUGAACCAUGAAGAAGAAACUGCGAACUGUAAGUCCAGAUUUUUCUUUUUUUGGGCAUCAUUUUGGCCUCCUGUUUGGUCUGGUUGGUCAGGAUCGAUGGGUGAAGAUUGAUAUAGUUAAAAGUAGUGCAGUAUAGGUUCUAAAUGAAUGGUGUACGACUAGAUGGAUCUCUGGGUAAAGCUAUAAACAUACUCCAGGGUUGUGUUCAGACUUUCUUCUGCCCACUUCGCCACUACUUCCCUGAACCUUGCAUCACUUUACGUGUGUGUUGUCUUACUGAUGGCGGUCUGGUCUGAGCGAUCAGAGAUGCAUGCUAGGGUACUGUGCUGUCUGAAGUCUACAGUUCUGUCGACGUGCCCUCUCAGGGGAAACCAAGUGUUUAAGAGGCCGUCGUCACGUCGGUUACGUGAAGGGGAAUGUCUAUCAAGAUGGGGACGGGACUCCCCGGAGGAGAAACGCAUGGGGCAAGAUGUGAGGGCUCCUCCUCUCAGCAACUAGAACACAACCUGGUUCCUGCACCGGAGAACCAUGGAGCACAUUUCAACGUUCUCCUCCAUACAUCUUGAAGCCAUAGCGACGGUUUCUCUACCUCCACAGCUGGAGGAGAGCACAAUCGCAGCUCAGAAUGGGUCCAUGUUGGGGUCUUUCCAGGUUGUUUUCUGAUUUGAGGGGACCCAUCUUCCAGGCCCAGCUGGCCUCGCCCAUUACUCUGCAGUACAGCCCUGAGAAAGACUUGCAUCUGAGCCAGCAGAGGGCUCAUCGGCCUGCUGCUCGGAUGGGAUGAAGAGGAUCCUGCUGUUCAAGACCCACCACCCCUCCACUGGGUGGGCCUUCUCAACAGACCACCUACCUCACCCCCCUUCCAUCAAAUCCUGUCCCCGUCCUCGGGCUCAUUAAGCGGCAAGAUUUGAAUCUGAGCAUCACAGUGGACAGUACUGAACAAUGUUCAACGAUGAGAAUGAUAACGGGUACGGCUUGGCUCAGAGGUAGUGAAGAAGGACACCUAACCCGAACUGUGUUGAAUGCCAAAUGUCCUAAAUGUAAAUAAUAGUUUGUCUAUACUGCUUGUUAAUAAAUUCUUAAAUUUGUAUUUCUUUCACACAUGUGUGCGCCUGGUCAGAGUUCGACCAUGCAUGGGGUUUAUAUGUCAGAUUUUAACAUGCUAAUGGUUCUUUGUGUGAGUGGUCAGCUUUUAGCCUGGCAAAUGGUUCGUGUGAGUGGUCAGCUUUUAGCCUGGCAAAUGGUUCAUGUGAGUGGUCAGCUUUUAACCUGGCAAAUGGUUCUUUGUGUGAGUGGUCAGCUUUUAACCUGGCAAAUGGUUCUUUGUGUGAUUUGUCAUCUUUUAAUUUGGCAAAUGGUUCUUCGUGUGAGUGGUCAGCUUUUAACCUGGCAAAUGGUUUGUGUGAGUGGUCAGCUUUUAACCUGGCAAAUGGUUUGUGUGAGUGGUCAGCUUUUAACCUGGCAAAUGGUUUGUGUGAGUGGUCAGCUUUUAACCUGGCAAAUGGUUUGUGUGAGUGGUCAGCUUUUAACCUGGCAAAUGGUUCUUUGUGUGAGUGGUCAGCUUUUAACCUGGCAAAUGGUUCUUUGUGUGAGUGGUCAGCUUUUAACCUGGCAAAUGGUUCUUUGUGUGAGUGGUCAGCUUUUAACCUGGCAAAUGGUUCUUUGUGUGAGUGGUCAGCUUUUAACCUGGCAAAUGGUUCUUUGUGUGAGUGGUCAGCUUUUAACCUGGCAAAUGGUUCUUUGUGUGAGUGGUCAGCAUUUAACCUGGCAAAUGGUUUGUGUGAGUGGUCAGCUUUUAAUCUGGCAAAUGGUUUGUUUGAGUGGUCAGCUUUUAACCUGGCAAAUGGUUCUUUGUGUGAGCUUGGUCAGCUUUUAACCUGGCAAAUGGUUCAUGUGAGCCUGGUCAGCUUUUAACCGGCAUGGGGUUCUACAUGUGUGAGCGUGGCCAGGGUUCUGGUCCCCUCAAGAAACUGUUGCUUUAGGUGUAGGCCCAUUAUAUGUUUUGACUUUUCAGCUACGUUUCUGGAUGAGUUCAGCCCGACCAAAUCACCACGGAAACAAAUUGAGUGGUACAGACACUGACUGAUUAAUGCCAACCGGCUCAGAUCGUCACGACAAACAAGGUCUACGAUGGGAAGGAGCAAUGGAUGCCUGAAACAAUGGAUGAUGGCCUCCGGAUGGACAGAAGUUUGGAAAUGUACCAAAAGAUCUUUGGAAAUGGUUACUUAAGCAUGAGAGUCGGCGACGUGGCUGCCCUUCCUAACCCCGGAGGACGAUGGCUGGCGGGCCCUGUGGAGCAAGACUUCUGUGCUGUGAUGAAAGCCUAGCUCAGGCCGAGGUAUAAUUUAUAGGUCCACUUGAUUCAGAAACCAACCUUGGAAACAUCCCAACCAUGGUCCUCUUCAAGCUGCAGUUAUGCUGUUCUCCAGAGGAGGAGGUAAAGAAACCCUCACUGGGGCUUCAAGAUGCAUGAAGAGGAACAUUGAAAUCUGCUCCAUGGUUCUCUCAAGUAGGAGCUAGGUUGUAUUCUACUCGCUAACUGUUGGAGCCCUCCCAUCCUACCCUUGGUGUCUCUCUUUGGGGAGUCCCUGUCACGGUCCUGAAGGAUGUUCCAGUUUGUGUAACUGAUGUUACGACAGCCUUUGAACACUUGGUUUCUUCUGAGGGGGUACAUCUACAGAACUGUGGUCUUCAGACGGCAUAUUAUCCUACCAUGCAUCUCUGGUCACCAAGACCACACCCAGAUCAGUAAGGCAACAAUCAUGCAAUGUGAAUGCAACGUUUGGAGAGUAGCAAGGAAGUGGACAAAAGGUGUAAGAGCAUCUCAAGUCUGUAGCUCUGUUAAGGGGAGGGGAGAUUAAUGGUUUAUUUUAGCACGUUGUUUCUCUAAAAAAUACACUUUAUACCUGUAAAUAUCUAGAUAAUUUACAAAAGUGGUCUGCGAUAAGGGAUGUCAGUUAAAGAUAUUCGGGUUAACUGUGGUUACCAAACAUGAUGGUUAGGCGUACAGUUCUAAGCCUUGUUUAUUGUUGGAUGGGGGGAACUGUGUAGUUAAAAUUACUAGUUCUGUACAUAAACCAACAGCAACAAACUACUAGAUCGACUCAAGGUAAGUCUGUUGGCUGUAUUGUGAGAUGAGACGAUGGACCCCAAGUUCUUCAUCCUCGUUCAGCUCAAGGUGAGGUGCUGGUUACGUUACUUAUUGCUGGUUAGGUUUGCAGUGGAGUGUUGGUAUUCCAGUUGGAAUAUCAUUCAUCACUAAUGAGUUUACACUAUUGGGUCAUCUGGCAGUACGAGUAGGAUUGGCAUUUGCGUGACCUCAUCACUAACGAGGGUACCCUAUUGGGUCAUCUGGCAGUACGAGUAGGAUUGGCAUUUGCGUAACCUCAUCACUAACGAGGGUACCCUAUUGGGUCAUCUGGCAGUACGAUCAGGAUUGGCAUUUGCGUAACCUCAUCACUAAUGUGUUUACACGAUUUCUAUCUAACCAUCUGGCAAAUUUGUCUUGUGCUUUAGGUAAGACAUAAUUCUAAAACAUAACAUUAGUUGCUGAAUUGUUGUGCGUUUAUCUCCAAAUUUUACCUGCGACUUGGCUAACUGCGCUGUACUUAAGUCAACUGACUCUCACUGCGUACCGAACUCCAUUCUUGCGCGCACAUUUUUGAGUCGCGAAUAAGAUCGGAGAGAAUUUGGCAUUUUCAUACUACGGAGUACGAUCGUCCCAGCAGCUGAAUAUGGCAAGGUAUAAUUUUACUAUUAAAUUAACUAUUGAUACUGCUAGUGAGGUAAAUAUCUGGGCUGUAAGUUUCAGUUAAACUCUACCAAAAUGCAUGGAAUUACUUUUUUAUUAUUUUUUUGUGGUGAAUAGUUAGGUAACCUUAUGAAAUUAAUCAUUAGCUAAAAUCAUGGAACCAUGUCCCACAUGCUUAUACAGUAAUAUGGACUAAAUAACUGUACAGAGCUGUAACUGUAGCUUGUGUCCCCAGGUGUCUGCCUCCACACCUCCCUGCUGUCACCACUGGUCUAAGAAGUUCAUAACGGUUAGUGUGGGAGGCGCAGCUCCAGUACUUGCUUUCUUGAACCUGUGAUGCACAAGAUGUUGAUCCAACCGCACAGUGAGCUCUGCAGGGUGGUCAGGACGGCUGUAGACGUGGAGGACGGGGCGGGGAGCCAGGCUCACCAGUGAUCUCCUGGGCGAGGCGUGUGGCGCCAGGAGGGACCGAGGCUGACCACCAAGCUGCUCUGAAACGCCCAAGGCCAGGACCCGUGGUGGAGGGCAGCUAGUGGGGAGCAGUGCUGGAGGACCUGCUGGGAAGGACAUCCCUCGUUGGGGUAAAGACACCCGUCUCUGAGAUGUGAAGGCUGCAGAGGACCCACCAGGAUCCCCUUGGAGGACAACCAUUGGACUACGUGAGGUCUUUGGAAGCACUACAGUUCAGAAUGCCUUCCAAAGAAUGAAGCCCACCCCCCAUGGCUCAGCUAGUGGCGUUCACCGGACCAGGAACCCAGAGACCUGAAGGAGGAGCCGUGCAUCUGGAGGAACACCAUGAGGCUACCCGCCAAGUAUUACUCACUUCCACGAGGAGGGGGGCUGACGGCUGGAGGACCUCCCUACUGGUGGGGCGAGUGACACCCGACUCUACAGGGAUGACCACGGAGGAGAGAGAGCUGAAGCCGUGCAUCCUGAAGGGGAAUCAGGUACUGAUGUGACAGUGAUCCAUGUCAUCUAUUUCUGCAAGGCGCGGUUGAAGAGCUGUGUUCAGUCUGGGAAGGACACACCUGAGCUGUUUCACCCUGAGCUGCUUCACACCUGCAUCUCCAAACAGCUGAAGCCCUUCAGUGACCAACAAACGGUGCCUCAUCACAGCUUAUCAUCGCUGGCCUGUGGAUCUGCUACACUCACACAACGUGACUUUGUCACCAUCUGCUGCACGUUGGGAUGCUAACGUGUUCCACCAGGGGUUCCUUCCUUCCCGCAGUGGGAGUGUUCCUUGUCCUUCAAGGAGUUAGGGUUCAGUGUUAGGGACAGAGUUAGGGAGAGAUGGUUGAGUCCUGGCUGGUUUACGAUGAACUGCUCUAACGCUUUGGCAAAAUGUUUCAAUGUGCAAACACUCACAAACGCAUACAAUGUAUAAUAAGUGUUUAUGAAAUAAAUUCUGUUAUAAUUCUG